AACCUUUGGCCUCCAGUGUGCUAGCUUUGGCUGGCGGAGGAUUUUUACACUCUCGAAUGUAAUGAACACUAUUGUCGUGCGCAAGCACUAAUAUACAACUUUCAACAACGGAUCUCUUGGCUCUCGCAUCGAUGAAGAACGCAGCGAAAUGCGAUAAGUAAUGUGAAUUGCAGAAUUCAGUGAAUCAUCGAAUCUUUGAACGCACCUUGCACCCUUUGGUAUUCCGAAGGGUAUGCUCGUUUGAGUGUCAUUGUACUCUCACACUCUAUGAUCCUUUGGAUUCAGGAGUGGUGGACUUGGGUGUUUGCUGCUUUCCUUGUGGCUCACCUCAAAUGUGUCAGUGCACCUCUUGGUUGGACAUAGAACGGCGUGAUAAGUGUCUUCGCCGGCACCUCGCAAGAGGGUGGCCAACUGGGAGCUCUGUGCUUUCAAACCGUCAUUUGACAAUCUCUGACAACUUGACCUCAAAUCGAGUAGGAUUACCCGCUGAACUUAAGCAUAUCAAU
RNAcentral lists this ribosomal RNA (506 nucleotides) under uncultured fungus. RNAcentral's name for it is "eukaryotic LSU rRNA". The stretch from base 97 to 250 matches the Rfam family "5.8S ribosomal RNA". Lineage: Eukaryota; Fungi. The record is from RNAcentral.